AUUGAACGCUGGCGGCAUGCUUUACACAUGCAAGUCGAGCGGCAGCGCGGGGGCAACCCUGGCGGCGAGCGGCGAACGGGUGAGUAAUGCAUCGGAACGUACCCUGGAGUGGGGGAUAACGCCGCGAAAGCGGCGCUAAUACCGCAUAUGCUCUGAGGAGGAAAGUGGGGGACCGCAAGGCCUCACGCUCUGGGAGCGGCCGAUGUCCGAUUAGCUAGUUGGUGGGGUAAAGGCUUACCAAGGCGACGAUCUGUAGCGGGUCUGAGAGGAUGAUCCGCCACACUGGAACUGAGACACGGUCCAGACUCCUACGGGAGGCAGCAGUGGGGAAUCUUCCGCAAUGGACGCAAGUCUGACGGAGCGACGCCGCGUGGAUGAUGAAGUACUUAGGUAUGUAAAAUCCUUUUGCCCAGGGAGAAAGUUUAUUGAUAGUACCUGGCGAAUAAGAGGUUGCUAAACUCGUGCCAGCAGCCGCGGUAAU
RNAcentral lists this ribosomal RNA (481 nucleotides) under uncultured bacterium. RNAcentral's name for it is "bacterial SSU rRNA". It matches the Rfam family "Bacterial small subunit ribosomal RNA", at positions 29 to 524 of the family's 1533-position model. The record is from RNAcentral.